RNAcentral lists this long non-coding RNA (1626 nucleotides) under Oncorhynchus mykiss (rainbow trout). RNAcentral's name for it is "lncRNA (ENSOMYG00000053250.1)". Lineage: Eukaryota; Metazoa; Chordata; Actinopteri; Salmoniformes; Salmonidae. The record is from RNAcentral.
AUGAACAGAGCACAGUCUAGCAAUCACUCUACACCCUACAUCCUGCUGGGUCUUCUACAUCCUGCUGGGUCUUCUACAUCCUGCUGGGUCUUCUACAUCCUGCUGGGUCUCCUACAUCCUGCUGGGUCUCCUACAUCCUGCUGGGUCUCCUACAUCCUGCUGGGUCUUCUACAUCCUGCUGGGUCUCCUACAUCCUGCUGGGUCUUCUACAUCCUGCUGGGUCUCCUACAUCCUGCUGGGUCUUCUACAUCCUGCUGGGUCUCCUACAUCCUGCUGGGUCUUCUACAUCCUGCUGGGUCUCCUACAUCCUGCUGGGUCUUCUACAUCCUGCUGGGUCUAGUUACAACAGAAAGAGGUCUGGUCUUCCACAGACUGAUUAAUCUAGUAUCAACAGAAAGAGGUCUGGUCUUCUACAUCCUGCUGGGUCUUCUACAUCCUGCUGGGUCUCCUACAUCCUGCUGGGUCUUCUACAUCCUGCUGGGUCUAGUUACAACAGAAAGAGGUCUGGUCUUCCACAGACUGAUUAAUCUAGUUACAACAGAAAGAGGUCUGGUCUUCUACAGACUGAUUAAUCUAGUAUCAACAGAAAGAGGUCUGGUCUUCUACAUCCUGCUGGGUCUAGUUACAACAGAAAGAGGUCUGGUCUUCUACAGACUGAUUAAUCUAGUUACAACAGAAAGAGGUCUAGUCUUCUACAGACUGCUGGGUCUAGUUACAACAGAAAGAGGUCUGGUCUUCCACAGACUGAUUAAUCUAGUAUCAACAGAAAGAGGUCUGGUCUUCUACAGACUGAUUAAUCUAGUUACAACAGAAAGAGGUCUGGUCUUCCACAGACUGAUUAAUCUAGUAUCAACAGAAAGAGGUCUGGUCUUCUACAGACUGAUGAAUCUAGUUACAACAGAAAGAGGUCUAGUCUUCCACAGACUGAUGAAUCUAGUAUCAACAGAAAGAGGUCUGGUCUUCUACAGACUGAUUAAUCUAGUUACAACAGAAAGAGGUCUGGUCUUCUACAUCCUGCUGGGUCUAGUUACAACAGAAAGAGGUCUGGUCUUCUACAGACUGAUUAAUCUAGUUACAACAGAAAGAGGUCUGGUCUUCCACAGACUGAUGAAUCUAGUUACAACAGAAAGAGGUCUAGUCUUCCACAGACUGAUGAAUCUAGUUACAACAGAAAGAGGUCUGGUCUUCCACAGACUGAUGAAUCUAGUUACAACAGAAAGAGGUCUAGUCUUCCACAGACUGAUGAAUCUAGUUACAACAGAAAGAGGUCUGGUCUUCUACAUCCUGCUGGGUCUAGUUUCAACAGAAAGAGGUCUGGUCUUCUACAUCCUGCUGGGUCUAGUUUCAACAGAAAGAGGUCUGGUCUUCUACAUCCUGCUGGGUCUAGUUACAACAGAAAUAGGUCUGGUCUUCUACAUCCUGCUGGGUCUAGUUUCAACAGAAAGAGGUCUGGUCUUCUACAGACUGAUUAAUCUAGUUACAACAGAAAGAGGUCUGGUCUUCUACAUCCUGCUGGGUCUAGUUACAACAGAAAGAGGUCUGGUCUUCUACAUCCUGCUGGGCCUCCUACAUCCUGCUGGGUCUAGUUUCAACAGAAAGAGGUCUGGUCUUCUACAGACUGAUUAA